Molecule: ribosomal RNA, 346 nt
Filed under: uncultured bacterium
Lineage: Bacteria
Description: bacterial SSU rRNA
Rfam family: Bacterial small subunit ribosomal RNA
Source: RNAcentral
ACUCCUACGGGAGGCAGCAGUUAGGAAUCUUGGGCAAUGGGCGAAAGCCUGACCCAGCAACGCCGCGUGGGCGACGAAGCCCUUCGGGUUGUAAACUCCUUUUGCGGGGGACGAUGAUGACGGUACCCCGCGAAUAAGGCUCGGCUAACUCUGUGCCAGCAGCCGCGGCAAUACAGAGGAGCCAAGCGUUGUCCGGAUUGACUGGGCGUAAAGCGCACGCAGGCGGUCGCGCGCGUGGGGUGUGAAAUUUCGGAGCUUAACUCCGAAACUGCAUUCGAUACUGCGGUGCUUGAGGACUGGAGAGGAGACUGGAAUUCAUGGUGUAGCGGUGAAAUGCGUAGAGAUC